GCAGGUCCCGGUCCCUGCCGCCCGCCGCCCCCGCGGCCUUGGCCCGCCUCCAGGGGAACCUCGAUUUUCCAAAUUCGGGAAGGCUGGCUGCUGAUAAGGACGGGAGCGCAUGGUGAACGAGCUUAACAAUGCCCGGAAAGAAAUAGCCGGGCCGAGAAAGAACUAAUAAUAGCCGCCGGCUCGAGCUCUGCCCGCCGGCUCCGCGCUCUGAGGAACAAUAAUGACGACAACAACCACAAUAGCCACCAUUUAUUGCGCGCGCGCUCUGUGCCAGGCACGGUGCUGAGCGCUUUGCAGGCGACAACCCUCGGAGGUAAGUACCGUUAUUACCCCUACUUCGCAGGACUCCGGGGCCGAGAGGUUAGGUCACUCGCCCCAGGCGCUCAGCUAGCUGACGUCCGUGCCAGAAUUCCAACCCAGGUAAUCCUCAUGGCAACCCAUUAAGGUCGGGAUCGUUCUUCCCAUCUUAAAGAUGAGGAAACUAAGGCACAUGGAAAUGUAAGUACCUUGCCCAAGGUCACCUAGCCGGAAAAUGGACGAGGCAGAAAGCGAACCCAGGGCUCCUCUCUGUCCGCAGAACCCGCGGUCUUGGCCACAGACGAUGCCACAUCCAAACCACCUCCGACAGCCCACCGGGCUCUGGCCCCAGGUCCCAAGAGGCGCUGCCCCUGCAGGGUGUGUCCCCAGUCCCUGCACGGCAGGUUCGGUCCCUCCUGAGGACACCGAUCUCAUCCCGUGAAAAGAACCAGGUGUCUGCAAAUCCGAGUCGCCGUGUCUCCCUUUUCCAGAGGGCCCUUCGGGGAUUUAAAAUGGGGAUCCACCAUCCAUUUGGAAUAGCGAACUUUCAUCCCUUCUCUAAAAUAAGAGAAGGGCGGAGGGGAUUGGCUGCGGAAGCAGCAGAUGAAAGGAUCUAUUUUCAUAAUAGCUACCGCCUAUUGCUGGCUUUUUUGCUUGGAGCCCUUUAUAUGUCUUGACUGACGGGUCUGCUCAGGGCUGCAGAGGCGUGGAUCAUUAUUCCCACUUCGUGGAUGGGGUCGGGAAGCUGGUAAGUGGCCAAGCUGGGGACCCACGCGGUUCCCAGCUCCCGGAACAUACAUACAUGCUGAGCCCACGGAUCAGAAGAGGUCCGAUACAGCCCCCGGGCUACUGAAGUGCUUCAAAGUCUGCACCGCAUUAAUUAGGGGCUUGACUGGCUUUCUAAGUUCACUCUGGGACUCAAAUAUAAAAAAAA
This is a long non-coding RNA of Chinchilla lanigera (long-tailed chinchilla), 1231 nucleotides long. RefSeq lists it as uncharacterized. NCBI's taxonomy places the organism in Eukaryota, Metazoa, Chordata, Mammalia, Rodentia, Chinchillidae. The transcript has 2 exons. The record is from RefSeq and is a predicted model, not a curated record.